GACGAACGCUGGCGGCGUGCUUAACACAUGCAAGUCGAACGGAAAGGCCCUGCUUUUGUGGGGUGCUCGAGUGGCGAACGGGUGAUUAACACGUGAGUAACCUGCCCUUUACUUUGGGAUAACUUCAGGAAACUGGGGCUAAUACCGGAUAGGAGCUCCUGCUGCAUGGUGGGGGUUGGAAAGUUUCGGCGGUUGGGGAUGGACUCGCGGCUUAUCAGCUUGUUGGUGGGGUAGUGGCUUACCAAGGCUUUGACGGGUAGCCGGCCUGAGAGGGUGACCGGCCAAAUUGGGACUGAGAUACGGCACAGACUCCUACGGGAGGCAGCAGUGGGGAAUAUUGCACAAUGGGCGGAAGCCUGAUGCAGCAACGCCGCGUGAGGGAUGACGGCCUUCGGGUUGUAAACCGCUUUCGCCUGUGACGAAGCGUGAGUGACGGUAAUGGGUAAAGAAGCACCGGCUAACUACGUG
This 468-nucleotide ribosomal RNA is filed under the name uncultured bacterium. RNAcentral describes it as "partial 16S ribosomal RNA". It matches the Rfam family "Bacterial small subunit ribosomal RNA", at positions 28 to 507 of the family's 1533-position model. The record is from RNAcentral.